Molecule: unclassified non-coding RNA, 345 nt
Filed under: soil metagenome
Description: partial contains 5.8S ribosomal RNA, internal transcribed spacer 2, and large subunit ribosomal RNA
Rfam family: 5.8S ribosomal RNA (bases 1-120)
Source: RNAcentral
GAUGAAGAACGUAGCGAAAUGCGAUACGUAAUGUGAAUUGCAGAAUUCAGUGAAUCAUCGAGUCUUUGAAUGCACAUUGCGCCCCCUGGUAUUCCGGGGGGCAUGCCUGUCCGAGCGUCAUUGCUGCCCUCAAGCACGGCUUGUGUGUUGGGCCUCCGUCCUCCUCCCGGGGGACGGGCCCGAAAGGCAGCGGCGGCACCGCGUCCGGUCCUCGAGCGUAUGGGGCUUCGUCACCCGCUCUUGUAGGCCCGGCCGGCGCUUGCCGACACAUCAAUCUUUUUUCCAGGUUGACCUCGGAUCAGGUAGGGAUACCCGCUGAACUUAAGCAUAUCAAUAAGCGGAGGA